GCCUGUGUAGCUCAGGGGUAGAGCACUUCCUUGGUAAGGAAGAGGUCGCGGGUUCAAAUCCCGCCACCGGCUCCA
RNAcentral lists this transfer RNA (75 nucleotides) under Bacteroides sp. RNAcentral's name for it is "tRNA-Thr". It matches the Rfam family "tRNA". From Rfam's summary of the family: Transfer RNA (tRNA) molecules are approximately 80 nucleotides in length. Their secondary structure includes four short double-helical elements and three loops (D, anti-codon, and T loops). Further hydrogen bonds mediate the characteristic L-shaped molecular structure. tRNAs have two regions of fundamental functional importance: the anti-codon, which is responsible for specific mRNA codon recognition, and the 3' end, to which the tRNAs corresponding amino acid is attached (by aminoacyl-tRNA synthetases). tRNAs cope with the degeneracy of the genetic code in two manners: having more than one tRNA (with a specific anti-codon) for a particular amino acid; and 'wobble' base-pairing, i.e. permitting non-standard base-pairing at the 3rd anti-codon position. RNAcentral also lists the same sequence under 5 other names. The record is from RNAcentral. Lineage: Bacteria; Pseudomonadati; Bacteroidota; Bacteroidia; Bacteroidales; Bacteroidaceae.